GAGGGUAUAGCUCAGGGGUAGAGUGUGUGCUUAGCAUGCACAGGGUCCUGGGUUCAAUCCCCAGUACCUCCA
This 72-nucleotide transfer RNA is filed under the name Camelus bactrianus (Bactrian camel). It matches the Rfam family "tRNA". Rfam says of the family: Transfer RNA (tRNA) molecules are approximately 80 nucleotides in length. RNAcentral also lists the same sequence under 2 other names. Lineage: Eukaryota; Metazoa; Chordata; Mammalia; Artiodactyla; Camelidae. The record is from Rfam by way of RNAcentral.